UCCUGGUUAACUCAGUUGGCAGAGCGCUCAACUGGAAAUAGAGAGGUCCUUGGUUCGAUAACAGGACCAGGCG
Ixodes scapularis (black-legged tick) is the source of this 73-nucleotide non-coding RNA. NCBI's taxonomy places the organism in Eukaryota, Metazoa, Arthropoda, Arachnida, Ixodida, Ixodidae. The record is from Rfam.